AUUGAACGCUGGCGGCAUGCCUUACACAUGCAAGUCGAACGGUAACGCGGGGCAACCUGGCGACGAGUGGCGAACGGGUGAGUAACACAUCGGAACGUGCCCAGUAGUGGGGGAUAGCCCGGCGAAAGCCGGAUUAAUACCGCAUACGACCUAAGGGUGAAAGCAGGGGAUCGCAAGACCUUGCGCUAUUGGAGCGGCCGAUGUCAGAUUAGGUAGUUGGUGGGGUAAAAGCCUACCAAGCCGACGAUCUGUAGCUGGUCUGAGAGGACGACCAGCCACACUGGGACUGAGACACGGCCCAGACUCCUACGGGAGGCAGCAGUGGGGAAUUUUGGACAAUGGGCGCAAGCCUGAUCCAGCCAUGCCGCGUGCGGGAAGAAGGCCU
This 385-nucleotide ribosomal RNA is filed under the name uncultured bacterium. Its description in RNAcentral is "bacterial SSU rRNA". It matches the Rfam family "Bacterial small subunit ribosomal RNA", at positions 29 to 417 of the family's 1533-position model. The record is from RNAcentral.